UACGUAGGUGGCGAGCGUUAUCCGGAAUUAUUGGGCGUAAAGCGUCCGCAGCCGGUUUUAUAAGUCUAUAAUAAAAGCCUGGGGCUCAACCCCAGUUCGUUAUAGAAACUGUAAGACUAGAGUAUGGUAGAGGCAAAUGGAAUUUCUAGUGUAGCGGUAAAAUGCGUAGAUAUUAGAAGGAACACCAGUGGCGAAGGCGAUUUGCUGGGCCAAAACUGACGGUCAGGGACGAAAGCGUGGGGAGC
This 245-nucleotide ribosomal RNA is filed under the name uncultured Bacillota bacterium. RNAcentral's name for it is "uncultured Firmicutes bacterium partial 16S ribosomal RNA". It matches the Rfam family "Bacterial small subunit ribosomal RNA", at positions 524 to 769 of the family's 1533-position model. The record is from RNAcentral. Lineage: Bacteria; Bacillati; Bacillota.